AGAACCCCGGCGAGGGGAGUGAAAAAGAACCUGAAACCGUGUACGUACAAGCAGUGGGAGCACGCUUAGGCGUGUGACUGCGUACCUUUUGUAUAAUGGGUCAGCGACUUAUAUUCUGUAGCAAGGUUAACCGAAUAGGGGAGCCGAAGGGAAACCGAGUCUUAACUGGGCGUUAAGUUGCAGGGUAUAGACCCGAAACCCGGUGAUCUAGCCAUGGGCAGGUUGAAGGUUGGGUAACACUAACUGGAGGACCGAACCGACUAAUGUUGAAAAAUUAGCGGAUGACUUGUGGCUGGGGGUGAAAGGCCAAUCAAACCGGGAGAUAGCUGGUUCUCCCCGAAAGCUAUUUAGGUAGCGCCUCGUGAAUUCAUCUCCGGGGGUAGAGCACUGUUUCGGCAAGGGGGUCAUCCCGACUUACCAACCCGAUGCAAACUGCGAAUACCGGAGAAUGUUAUCACGGGAGACACACGGCGGGUGCUAACGUCCGUCGUGAAGAGGGAAACAACCCAGACCGCCAGCUAAGGUCCCAAAGUCAUGGUUAAGUGGGAAACGAUGUGGGAAGGCCCAGACAGCCAGGAUGUUGGCUUAGAAGCAGCCAUCAUUUAAAGAAAGCGUAAUAGCUCACUGGUCGAGUCGGCCUGCGCGGAAGAUGUAACGGGGCUAAACCAUGCACCGAAGCUGCGGCAGCGACGCUUAUGCGUUGUUGGGUAGGGGAGCGUUCUGUAAGCCUGCGAAGGUGUGCUGUGAGGCAUGCUGGAGGUAUCAGAAGUGCGAAUGCUGACAUAAGUAACGAUAAAGCGGGUGAAAAGCCCGCUCGCCGGAAGACCAAGGGUUCCUGUCCAACGUUAAUCGGGGCAGGGUGAGUCGACCCCUAAGGCGAGGCCGAAAGGCGUAGUCGAUGGGAAACAGGUUAAUAUUCCUGUACUUGGUGUUACUGCGAAGGGGGGACGGAGAAGGCUAUGUUGGCCGGGCGACGGUUGUCCCGGUUUAAGCGUGUAGGCUGGUUUUCCAGGCAAAUCCGGAAAACUAAGGCUGAGGCGUGAUGACGAGGCACUACGGUGCUGAAGCAACAAAUGCCCUGCUUCCAGGAAAAGCCUCUAAGCAUCAGGUAACAUCAAAUCGUACCCCAAACCGACACAGGUGGUCAGGUAGAGAAUACCAAGGCGCUUGAGAGAACUCGGGUGAAGGAACUAGGCAAAAUGGUGCCGUAACUUCGGGAGAAGGCACGCUGAUAUGUAGGUGAAGUCCCUCGCGGAUGGAGCUGAAAUCAGUCGAAGAUACCAGCUGGCUGCAACUGUUUAUUAAAAACACAGCACUGUGCAAACACGAAAGUGGACGUAUACGGUGUGACGCCUGCCCGGUGCCGGAAGGUUAAUUGAUGGGGUUAGCGCAAGCGAAGCUCUUGAUCGAAGCCCCGGUAAACGGCGGCCGUAACUAUAACGGUCCUAAGGUAGCGAAAUUCCUUGUCGGGUAAGUUCCGACCUGCACGAAUGGCGUAAUGAUGGCCAGGCUGUCUCCACCCGAGACUCAGUGAAAUUGAACUCGCUGUGAAGAUGCAGUGUACCCGCGGCAAGACGGAAAGACCCCGUGAACCUUUACUAUAGCUUGACACUGAACAUUGAGCCUUGAUGUGUAGGAUAGGUGGGAGGCUUGGAAGUGUGGACGCCAGUCUGCAUGGAGCCGACCUUGAAAUACCACCCUUUAAUGUUUGAUGUUCUAACGUUGACCCGUAAUCCGGGUUGCGGACAGUGUCUGGUGGGUAGUUUGACUGGGGCGGUCUCCUCCUAAAGAGUAACGGAGGAGCACGAAGGUUGGCUAAUCCUGGUCGGACAUCAGGAGGUUAGUGCAAUGGCAUAAGCCAGCUUGACUGCGAGCGUGACGGCGCGAGCAGGUGCGAAAGCAGGUCAUAGUGAUCCGGUGGUUCUGAAUGGAAGGGCCAUCGCUCAACGGAUAAAAGGUACUCCGGGGAUAACAGGCUGAUACCGCCCAAGAGUUCAUAUCGACGGCGGUGUUUGGCACCUCGAUGUCGGCUCAUCACAUCCUGGGGCUGAAGUAGGUCCCAAGGGUAUGGCUGUUCGCCAUUUAAAGUGGUACGCGAGCUGGGUUUAGAACGUCGUGAGACAGUUCGGUCCCUAUCUGCCGUGGGCGCUGGAGAACUGAGGGGGGCUGCUCCUAGUACGAGAGGACCGGAGUGGACGCAUCACUGGUGUUCGGGUUGUCAUGCCAAUGGCACUGCCCGGUAGCUAAAUGCGGAAGAGAUAAGUGCUGAAAGCAUCUAAGCACGAAACUUGCCCCGAGAUGAGUUCUCCCUGACUCCUUGAGAGUCCUGAAGGAACGUUGAAGACGACGACGUUGAUAGGCCGGGUGUGUAAGCGCAGCGAUGCGUUGAGCUAACCGGUACUAAUGAACCGUGAGGCUUAACCUU
RNAcentral lists this ribosomal RNA (2425 nucleotides) under Escherichia coli. Its description in RNAcentral is "bacterial LSU rRNA". It matches the Rfam family "Bacterial large subunit ribosomal RNA", at positions 520 to 2925 of the family's 2925-position model. Lineage: Bacteria; Pseudomonadati; Pseudomonadota; Gammaproteobacteria; Enterobacterales; Enterobacteriaceae. The record is from RNAcentral.